RNAcentral lists this ribosomal RNA (262 nucleotides) under uncultured prokaryote. RNAcentral describes it as "partial 16S ribosomal RNA". It matches the Rfam family "Bacterial small subunit ribosomal RNA", at positions 524 to 786 of the family's 1533-position model. The record is from RNAcentral.
UACGUAGGGGGCAAGCGUUGUCCGGAAUCACUUGGCGUAAAGCGCAUGUAGGCGGGAUAUUAAGUCAGGUGUGAAAACUAUGGGCUCAACCUGUAGAUUGCAUCUGAAACUGGUAUUCUUGAGUAUUGGAGAGGAAAGUGGAAUUCCUAGUGUAGCGGUGAAAUGCGUAGAUAUUAGGAGGAACACCAGUGGCGAAGGCGACUUUCUGGCCAAAACUGACGCUGAGAUGCGAAAGCGUGGGGAGCAAACAGGAUUAGAUACU